Gossypium arboreum is the source of this 144-nucleotide non-coding RNA. The record is from Rfam. NCBI's taxonomy places the organism in Eukaryota, Viridiplantae, Streptophyta, Magnoliopsida, Malvales, Malvaceae.
UGUUAAAAUUUUCAUUCAUUUCUACUGUUAAAAACUGAUGCGGCUGACGAAGUAACCAAACAGUUACACAUGGUAUACCACAUGUACCUUAUGCUAACAUCAAAGACCAAUUUUUAACAAAAAAAUUGGAUGAAAUUGUUAACA